RNAcentral lists this ribosomal RNA (491 nucleotides) under uncultured bacterium. RNAcentral describes it as "bacterial SSU rRNA". It matches the Rfam family "Bacterial small subunit ribosomal RNA", at positions 1 to 524 of the family's 1533-position model. The record is from RNAcentral.
AUUAGUUUGAUCAUGGCUCAGGACGAACGCUGGCGGCGUGCUUCACACAUGCAAGUCGAACGGGGAUGCAGCAAAAGCUUGCUUUUAUUGCAUCCUAGUGGCGGACGGGUGAGUAACGCGUGGGAAUCUACCCGGUUCUUCGGAAUAACCCAGGGAAACUUGGGCUAAUACCGGAUACGCCCUUAGGGGGAAAGAUUUAUCGGAAUUGGAUGAGCCCGCGUCGGAUUAGCUAGUUGGUGGGGUAAUGGCCUACCAAGGCGACGAUCCGUAGCUGGUCUGAGAGGAUGAUCAGCCACACUGGGACUGAGACACGGCCCAGACUCCUACGGGAGGCAGCAGUGGGGAAUAUUGGACAAUGGGCGCAAGCCUGAUCCAGCCAUGCCGCGUGAGUGAUGAAGGCCUUAGGGUUGUAAAGCUCUUUCAGCGGGGAAGAUAAUGACGGUACCCGCAGAAGAAGCCCCGGCUAACUUCGUGCCAGCAGCCGCGGUAAU